CCUGCCUCAGCGAGCACUUCUUCUCCUGCACGCACCAGCCGCACUCGAACCUGGGGUUGGCCUUCAGACACAUGCCACAGCUGUCCCUCAGAGCGUAGCACUUGUACACGUGGGCUGUGGAGCAGGAGAGACGCCGGUGGCACUAAAGACAGAGGAGAAGAGGUGUUGUUGGGAAGGAGACUGGAAAACGUUGGCGGAUGGGCUGAGCUGGAGCGCGUGCUGUGCAAAAGACACAAACAGCAAAGAAGAAGAAUGGGGAACGGGGCGGGGAGAGGAUCACACGGCGGCGGGAGUGAAGGAGAAAUGGCGAGGGCCAGAUGGAUAGAGAGAGAGACCACCCAGUCUGCCUGGGAACAAGAGGGCUUCUUCACUGGGCGAAGGUGGAGACAACACAAGAAGGCAAUGAGAAAGAAGACAAGGAGCGAGCGAGCGACAGAGAGAGAGAGAGAGAGAGAGAGGGAGGAAACGAGCAGUCGGGUCUUAAUCCAGCCUGCUCAGCUUUAGAAAUCUGCUUGUACAUCUGGAGCCACAGAGGGAACAGACACGCACCUGGACCUCCGACAUGGUCACGGAGAUGUUCCUCGGCUGGACCGUGAGCUCCACGCACUGCCUCUGG
This is a long non-coding RNA of Betta splendens (Siamese fighting fish), 616 nucleotides long. RefSeq lists it as uncharacterized. The record is from RefSeq and is a predicted model, not a curated record. The transcript is spliced from 4 exons. Lineage: Eukaryota; Metazoa; Chordata; Actinopteri; Anabantiformes; Osphronemidae.